RNAcentral lists this transfer RNA (72 nucleotides) under Camelus ferus (Wild Bactrian camel). It matches the Rfam family "tRNA". From Rfam's summary of the family: Transfer RNA (tRNA) molecules are approximately 80 nucleotides in length. Their secondary structure includes four short double-helical elements and three loops (D, anti-codon, and T loops). The record is from Rfam by way of RNAcentral. Lineage: Eukaryota; Metazoa; Chordata; Mammalia; Artiodactyla; Camelidae.
GAGGUGAUAGCUCCGUGGAAGAGCGUGUGUCUAGCAAGCAUGAGGUCCUGGAUUCAAUCCCCAGUAACUCCA